This 477-nucleotide ribosomal RNA is filed under the name uncultured bacterium. RNAcentral's name for it is "bacterial SSU rRNA". It matches the Rfam family "Bacterial small subunit ribosomal RNA", at positions 335 to 800 of the family's 1533-position model. The record is from RNAcentral.
ACUCCUACGGGAGGCAGCAGUGGGGAAUUUUGGACAAUGGGGGGCAACCCUGAUCCAGCCAUGCCGCGUGCGGGAAGAAGGCCUUCGGGUUGUAAACCGCUUUGUCAGGGAAGAAAAGACUCCUACUAAUACUGGGGGUUCAUGACGGUACCUGAAGAAUAAGCACCGGCUAACUACGUGCCAGCAGCCGCGGUAAUACGUAGGGUGCAAGCGUUAAUCGGAAUUACUGGGCGUAAAGCGUGCGCAGGCGGUUAUGCAAGACAGAUGUGAAAUCCCCGGGGCUCAACCUGGGAACUGCAUUUGUGACUGCAUGGCUAGAGUACGGUAGAGGGGGAUGGAAUUCCGCGUGUAGCAGUGAAAUGCGUAGAUAUGCGGAGGAACACCGGAUGGCGAAGGCAAUCCCCUGGACCUGUACUGACGNUCAUGCACGAAAGCGUGGGAGCAAACAGGAUUACGAUACCCCGUGGUAGGUCAGUC